UCUCUUCAGAAAUGCAUGUGAUUGACGGCAUCUCUGAAUAAAGAAACCUGCUUCUUCUCAUCUGCUGACUGAGAUCUCCUUCAUUUCAGCUAAGUAUUUGAUAGUUUAUUGACUUUAUUUGGUAAGAUUAUUGAAAUAAUAGAAAUUGGUACAAUUAAAGAUUCCACACUGUGAUAUGUCCACUCGGAGGGGACUCUGAGUUCCGACACUCUCUGCACGUACCUUUACCUUCCUGUCUGUGGUAUUCUACAGUGCUACUGCUGAGAUACAAGCACACACAUCCUUCUUUACAAGUUCUAAUGUUUAGUUUGGUUUCUCUGUUUCUAGGCAGUGGACAUUAAGGGAUACUUCCUCGGGAUGAUAAGGGGUCCUGAGAGUCGUUUUUGCUGAUUUAAAACCACACGCUACUUCGACCAGCUGGGAUUCCCUUAUCAGAUCACCAUUGAGGACCAGUUCACUGCCAGGGUGAAUAUGGGAAGGUUACAUAGCUCAUUUCCUGUAACCGGGUGGAAACCAUCAUCGAGCCACUUAAGGAUUAUGUGCUCAGUUCAGUUCUCUGUUGAGAUACCUGACUGCCUGAGGGAAGAAGCUGUUCAACAGUCUGGUUGUACAGAUCCAACCG
Hemibagrus wyckioides is the source of this 622-nucleotide long non-coding RNA. RefSeq lists it as uncharacterized. The transcript is spliced from 4 exons. The record is from RefSeq and is a predicted model, not a curated record. Lineage: Eukaryota; Metazoa; Chordata; Actinopteri; Siluriformes; Bagridae.